GAAGAGAUUGAGAAUUAGCCAUUUGGAAACAGAUAGAGGUGUGGAUGAGAUUUUCAGUCCAAGGCCGCCAGUGCCAACUGAGUGAUUAUAUAGACAGACAGGCGUCAGCAUCAAUCAUUGUUAUCUUCUUCUUUUUUGGUCAACAAUCAUUGUUAUCUGUCUUAAUUAACCAUUAAUAAAACUUUUGACAAACAGAUGAAGGCCAGUUGACAUGUAUGUGCUUGGUGUAAGUUUACCAUCAAAGCUUGAUGUAGAUUGUUGGCUCCCUCUAUAACCGCUUAGGUUUUUUAAGAUUAAUGGUUGUUUGACAUGGUAUUUGAGACUUCUUUAUGGAUAGUUCUCAGUUCAAUAUUAAGUUUUUUGACACUAACGAUGUCCUAACACAUGAUACCAUGAACAAAAAUAACAAAAGAUUGUAGCCUUUUUUAUUUAUAUUUAUUAUUUUAGUUUUUAUGUAGGAAAUUAUAUGACUUAGACUGUAGUAAAUCAAAUAUAGAUAUUGUUCAGGCCAAGCACUGCCUAAACUCCAACUUAGCAUAGAGGGUAGCAAAGAAGGGACUAUUUUUGCUGAACAAAAUUUCUAGGUGGCCUGUGACCCAUCUCUUCCUUUGGGUCAACAAACCAUGAGAAGAUGAGAAUGCAGAGCCCAUAAAGCCUGGUGGGUCUAGCAUGCAUAAGAUAGACUUCCAGCCUCUUGCAUGGAUCUUCAUCCCAGUUAGGAUAUCUUCUGAGACUGACCCAUAAAUCCAACCUACCUGAAAUGAGUCAGCCCAACUAUGUCAAAAUUACUUCACGAGUAAUGUUUCGGUGUGACAGUCAUGUUAUAACGAAUGUAUUUACUUACUAAUAUUAUAGUCUAGAUUCAUUAAAUAUUAAUCAUAUUGUUUACUCGAUUUAUACAACUAAUAACUUGUUAGUUAGUACUCCUCGCCCCCACACAACUCAAUUAAACUCACAUAAUUCAAUUAUGCUCCCUCAUCCUCAUGGACAGAGUCUUAGGUCCACCAAUGUUACUACUCUUUUGUCCCCACAUAACUCAAUUAAUGUCACAUAAUCCAACUAUGUCCCAUCAUGGACAAAGUCUUUGGACCACCACAGUCCACCAAACUCACAUGCUCAAAAUCUUGAGCCUGUCGGUGUGACAGUAACCCUACAAAUCUUUUUCAUUUUCAUCAGUCAUGAGAUGCGAUAGAAAUAAUUAUUUCAUAUACACGAUGCACAACAGGUUUUUUAAGCUAAACGUUACGUUGAUGUCAGCUUGUUGAAGCAAGUUUUGUCUUCCAACUUGUUCAGUUUGGUGGGCUCACUUUUUGUUAUGGCAACUUUUUCUUUAUAAGGGUUGUUUUUGGAGCCUAAACCUCUUUCUGCCAGAGAAAAAAAGGAUGAAUGAAAGUGCUCUUAAGCUAACCAGGGGCAUAUAGUUUUUUUUUUCUUCGUUAAUAAGAAAAGAAAACAUAUAUAAUUGGUCAAAUCUUUGUCCCUCAUAAUAUAUUAUACUCGUACGCAGAACCAGCAACUUUGUUGGCUGCCUCAACAACAGCAAUGGAAAGGUCACGAGGAUGAUCAAUUUUCUCUGAUAAAAUAUGAGUUGCUGAUUCGAUGAACUCCAUGGAAUUUCCAAACCCUUCUUUAUCCAAUGCCACAUCUGUCAGAUUAAGGAUAAACCAUAGAUAACUUUACGUCUGUGAAAACAUCCGGUCCCUGCAUAGAGAGGUCCUUGUAUCCCAGCGAAUCCCGUCCAAAUUGUCUACAAAAUAUAGCCUCUAUACAUUAGUUAGAUGCAUGCAUGUAAUACAAAUAUGUAAUAUUCUAAUCAAUGGUCCAAAAUUCAAGUAGGGAAGGUCUCUAAAAUAAAUCAAUUAUGCAUGUCUAAAAUAAAUCAGUUAUGCAUGUCUGAUGCAUAGAACAUCUCACAUGAAGUGUUCAUAAUCGAGAAUGAUAAAUUUACCAUAUUCGUCAAUAAAAUUGCAGAUUACUUUUCUUAUAGAAGUAAGAUUUACUUGCAUGAAAUUGGUCCUUUGAAAAUCUCACAUAUCUUCCUCAAAUAGAUUUAUUUUUUUACCUUAAGACGUCUGAGUAUGAUUACGUAAAUAUAGUUUAAUGUUUGCAUAUGGUGAACUAAAAAAGAAAACAAAAACUUGAAUCAAUUAUUAAAAAAGAUUGGCAACACAUUGAACUCUUUUGAAAUUGAUUAGAUAAUGUUGUUCUUUAUUACAUCAUGGUCACAAUAUGGCUAGAUGUAGAGUAGUAUAAUAAAUACAUUUAUGUAAAAGAAUGGGCAUCCUUCUUUUAGUGUUUUAAGCGCCAUUUUUUGGUGUCUCCCCUUCUUGGUUAUAUGUUGUGCUUCGAAAGACUCAUUUUAGUUUAUGACCACCAUCUCUGCACUCAUUCUCCUUCUCACAACCUCUGUUAUAAGAGUUGGAUUUUGGAGGCAUGCACCGUUGCCCCCUGCAUCCAAACGGCUGAUCACGGCGUAUUGACCCAUAACUGAUAUCUUUUGCAUUCGUCGUUUCACUGCAAAUCGAGCACACCAACAGAGCAACAAUGCAAAGUGUAAAUGUCUUGGAGAUGGCCAUUGAUCUUCAAAACAAAUUACAAAUGGCUCUAGACUUGGAUAAUGAGGACUAUGAGAGAGAGAGAGGAUUUUGGAGGAGAUGAUGAUUACGAGACUGAGAAACCUUCAAUUUAAUGUGAUGUUCUUUGCUAACUUUAGGCAAUUUUGCUAGGGAUUAAACCUAAAUUGUUAUUUUUUGUUAUUGAUUAUUGGUGUGGCUCAAAGAGACACAUUGGUAGUAUAACUUUAAUUAGACUUAUGGUUUAGAAGAGCCAAAUUUAGAAAUUCCAUUCAACUUUUUCCAAUUGGUUCUUCAGUAACUUGAAUGAAAAGGUUCUGCCAUGCUACCAAAAUGUGGCCUUCUACUCUCUAUGUAUAUUUGUGCGAAUUUUUUUUUUUGAUAAGUUAAAAAACUUAUAUGAACUCAAAGUCAGAAUUGUAAUCUAAAAAGAAACGAACAAAAUGUAAUUCACAUAACAACUUUAUAAAAUGCAUCAAAACAUCACUCGUCAUGCAUUUUUUGAUGCCAAAGUAUCAAUUAACUUUGCAUAACAAUUUGUUCUACCAUGUAUUUUUCAAUAUAAAAUAUAAGGAAUAGUCUUGGGGGUUUUUACCUUUCUUUUCUUCCUUGAAUAUCUUUUCCUCUUGCAGUAGAUAUUCAAUAAUAAACUGCUUUUUUUUUUUUUUUUUUAUUGUGUUGAUUAUAGCAAAUUUUCCCAUCUAAUGUAUAUGCUACUAGGUUAACCUAUUCAACUAGGUUAACUUAUUAAACUGGUUUAACUUUAAAAAAAUUAGUCCCUUAUUAAGUUUCCAUUUUUUUAAUUUUAGAGUAAAUAAUUGGACUCUAAAAAAAAAUAGUACUUGGGCUUAAUAUAAUAUUAAUAUAGUAUAAUUUUUAAAGUAACAUACAUAUGUAUAUAUAGAGGUUUAUAAAAGUUGGCGGACCUUUCGAUUUGGAGGCCCUAGGCGACGGCCUUGCCCGCCUAUAUUAAAGGUGGAAGUACUGACGGUCUAUAAGAGUCCAAGAUACGAUCUCAAAUAUCCAUGCUCAGGGUGUGUUAUGAGCACAUAGCUUAAAGUCAGAUAUAUGCCUCUAAAACACUGAACCCAUCCAAAAAUAAUAGUAGAAAAUACAGAAUGUAUAUGAAAGUAGUAGAACAGAAGUACAGAUAAUCAAACUCUAGUUGUGUGUCAAAAGGUCAAUUAUGCAUGUCUAGGUCAAAUGUGAAGGAGAAUCAAACAUCAAUACAAUCAAAAAUCCUAGACUCUGAUGUGCUACAACGAGGCCUCGUUAAAAUCUUGCUAUAAGAACCUUCAGUAAGGAAAAUCCGAUCAAGAAAAACGAGUAUUAUAUACCACCACCAACAAUUUGAACAUGUAUAAUAUGCGUGUGCAAUUGUAAAAAUACGUACUUUUAUAAGAAGAACCAUGUUGUUUCCAAAUGGGUCAUCUUUCAAAGUGUUGUAGAACAUUUGUGGGUACUAAACAAAUGCACCAUCUUUUUCAUGCUUGAAACCAAGUAAUAGGCACAUCACAUAAGGAACGAUCUUUGAAUUGUUGGCAUACAUAUCGCAGUCGACGUUCAACAUAAAUGGAGCAAAGGCGCACGGCUUCGGAAGGACAUAUAAGGGGUAUUGGGGUCCGCAUGGACAACUCAAGCGCAAGGAAAAAGGAAAAAAGGAAAAAAAAAAAAGUCAUGGACACCUUGGAUCGGUUGACAGACCAAAGGCUCAUGGCUCCAGAAGAACAGUUAAGGGGUAUUGGGGCCCGCAUGAAUAGUUCAAGUGUAAGGAAAAAGGAAAAAAGGGAAAGAAGAAGAAGAAAAAAAAAGUGUCAUGAACACCUUGGAUCGGUUGAGAAACCGAAGGCACACGGUUCCAGAAUGACAACUAAGGGGUAUUGGAGCCCGCAUGGACAGGUAAAGUGCAAGAGGAAAAAAAAAAAAAAAAGGUCGUGAAUACCUUGGAUCGGUUGAGAGACCAAAGGUGCACGGCUUAGGAAGGACAACUAAGGGAUAUUGGGGACCGCAUGGACGGCUCAAGUGUAAGAAAAAAAAAGGCUCAUGGACACCUUGGAUCAGUUGAAGAACCAAAGGCACACGGGUCCGAAAGGACAGCUCAGGGGUAUUGGAAUCCCAAAUGGAUCGGCUAGUAAAGAGAAAGCAAGGAGCAUGGAGCCCACCGAACUGGCAAAAGCUCAAAACCAGGGCACCCCCAACCUGGGUUGGGAUUGGCUAGCAAAGAAAAACCAAGAGGCAUAGGACCCACCGGAUUGGUAAAAGCUCAAAACCAAGCGCACCCCACCUGGGAUUGGGAUCGGCUAGCAGAGAGAAACCGAGGGGCAUGGGACCUACCGGACAGGCAAGAAUUUAAACCAGGCACACCUCAAAUUCAUUUGGGAUCAGCUAGGAAAGAGAAAGCAAUGAGCAUAGGGCCCACCAGAUUGGCAAAAGCUCAAAACCAAGCGCACCCCAACCGGGGUUGGGAUCGACUAGCAAAGAGAAAGCAAGGAUCAUGGGGCCCAUUGGAUCGGCAAAAGCUUAAAGCCAAGUGCAACCUAACUGGGAUUGGGAUCGGCUAGCAGAGAGAAACCGAGGGGCAUGGGACCUACCGGACAGGCAAGAAUUUAAACCAGGCACACCUCAAAUUCAUUUGGGAUCGGCUAGGAAAGAGAAAGCAAUGAGCAUAGGGCCCACCAGAUUGGCAAAAGCUCAAAACCAAGCACACCCCAACCGGGGUUGGGAUCGACUAGCAAAGAGAAAGCAAGGAUCAUGGGGCCCAUUGGAUCGGCAAAAGCUUAAAGCCAAGUGCAACCUAACUGGGGUCGAUUAGCAAAGAGGAAAAUGUGUAUGGGCCCACCGGAUUGGCAGAGGUGCAGAAAUCCAAAAUAAAGAAAAGAGUCCACUUGCGCAUGGGAUUAGUUGUCCGCACUUGGAUACUCCACAUGGGGAUAACAGUCCACAGUUGGAACUUGAAAAGUUAGCAACGUGUAUGAAAAUUCAUAUUUGGAUAUUUCACAUGCAAGGUGUGAAAGCAACGUGCAUGGGUUGGUGAUAGGCCAAUAGGAAUCAUAUUUUUGGGUUUGACCAGUAAGCCUAAGAAAGAAAACAUAUGGCUUAUUUGGGCUCAGCCAUGAGCCCAUCAUGACGACAUGCGCUUAAUUCGAAGAAAUCUUGUUCCAAAGUCCCACUUAGAUCAUUUUUUCCCUUUCCACCUGCGAAGCGUGUAGAGAGAAAAAAAAUGGGGGCAUUGUGGGGAUCAAAUCUCACGUAUCAUGGCUUAACCCAUAUGCCACAACUAAAAGACGUGGGACAAUCAAACUUCCCUCCCACGAGAGAAGUGCGAAGCGAGGGAGACACGCUCAUCUGAUCCCAUUACCAUGGAAUGGAGGACGGGAUGCGCAAAGCUAGGGAAGUGGGGCUAAACCCAAGAACUCGAAGCGCUAUAAAAAUCCGGCUAGACCUCCAGCAAAAGGUACGAGAAAUUCAAUUGAACACUAAGAGUACAUUGCACAAACAUUGACUUGAGCGUCAGAGUGACUUUUGCAGGUACUCACCCUAUUCCCACCGUUCGACCUCGGGAACGUAAUCCAGAGUUUUCUUUCAACCAAGGAAGCGUGCGGACUUCAGUCAAGAACCUGUAGAGGUAUUUCUUCUUGAAAGAAAUCCUGCUCCAACAAAGGAAGAGAUUGAGAAUUAGCCAUUUGGAAACAGAUAGAGGUGUGGAUGAGAUUUUCAGUCUAAGGUGGCCAGUGCCAACUGAGUGAGUACAUAUAGACAAAUGGUAUCAGGUAUCAGCACCUUCAAACAGAUCAAGGCUAGCGGUAGCCCAAUUGACAUAUUGCAUAUACACGUGUUUGGUGCAAGUUUACCAUCUAAGUUUGAUAUCCAUUGUUGGGCCACUCUCUCACUGCCCAAGUUUUUCGAGGUUAGGAGUUGUCUGACCUCAGUUCAAUUUAUGAGUGGCUCUCAGUUCAAUUUAUGUUCCUAUUUUUUUGUUGGCUUGCAAGAUGUAUGAUGUGGCUACACCUAUAUGUUUAUCUCUCUCCUCCUAUUGAUUUACCUCUUCAUGUGCAUGGUGCAAGCUUGAUACACAUUAUCAACCCAUUCUCUAGCAGCUUAAGUUUUUGAGGCUCAUGAUGACCUAACACAUGAUAAUACCAUUUCGAAAAAAUAGCAUAAGAUUGUAGGCCCUUUUGUUUAUGUUUCUGAUUUAGUUUUUCUCUAGGAAAUUGUGAGACUUAGAUCGAUGUUAUCAAAUGCAGAACAUGCUCGCCAGUUUUACAAUCGGAUCUCGUGAUACUUAUGAUUGCCAGUUUUAAUCCAAAUGCAUAAAGUUGAAAAACAUAUUGUACCCUUUGCAAAAUUAACUUCUGCACAAGGUGCAGAACAUGAGUGUGAGCCCAGCAGACUUAAAAAUGGUGGACAAGGGAAUUCCAUAUUUCCCAGAACCAAACAACCCUUUCAAAAAUGGCCAGAGGCAGAGCACCAAGCACACACUGCCUGCAACCUCUAAUCGGCCUGACCCGAGCCCAUC
Molecule: long non-coding RNA, 7089 nt
Filed under: Prunus persica (peach)
Lineage: Eukaryota; Viridiplantae; Streptophyta; Magnoliopsida; Rosales; Rosaceae
Description: long non-coding RNA (PPER_LNC003822)
Source: RNAcentral